Microtus oregoni (creeping vole) is the source of this 254-nucleotide non-coding RNA. RefSeq annotates it as small Cajal body-specific RNA 2. Lineage: Eukaryota; Metazoa; Chordata; Mammalia; Rodentia; Cricetidae. The transcript has a single exon. The record is from RefSeq and is a predicted model, not a curated record.
UCUAGAGGGAGGGAGCUUGGCUGGAGUGAUGGAUGGUGUGAGCGACUGCAGUACAGUGUGCAAGAGGUGUGGACGUGUGUGUGUGUGUGUGUGCAUGUGGAGUGUGCAAGCUGCGUGUGCGUUUGCACCCAUGUCUCUCCCUGUGCCUCUAUCUUGAUUCUACUGGAUCAGGUAGGUUGUGCACCUCCAGUCCCCGCCCCACAGGGCCGUCCUAAAAUGAAAAGCCAAACUUCUGUGACUUCCCCUUCUUCUGA